GGACUACUGGGGUAUCUAAUCCCGUUCGCUCCCCUGGCUUUCGCACCCGAGCGUCAGAUACUUCCCAGGAUGCUGCCUUCGCCUUUGGUGUUCUUCCAGAUCUCUACGCAUUUCACCACUCCACCUGGAAUUCCACAUCCCUCUGAAGCUCUCAAGUCUUGCAGUUUCCAGAGCACUUCCCCAGUUAAGCCGGGAACUGUCACCCCAGACUGACAAGACCGCCUGCGUGCGCUUUACGCCCAGUAACUCCGGACAACGCUUGCCUCCUACGUAUUACCGCGGCUGCUGGCAC
This 292-nucleotide ribosomal RNA is filed under the name uncultured bacterium. Its description in RNAcentral is "partial 16S ribosomal RNA". The record is from RNAcentral.